Molecule: ribosomal RNA, 468 nt
Filed under: uncultured bacterium
Lineage: Bacteria
Description: partial 16S ribosomal RNA
Rfam family: Bacterial small subunit ribosomal RNA
Source: RNAcentral
GACGAACGCUGGCGGCGUGCUUAACACAUGCAAGUCGAACGGAAAGGCCCUGCUUUUGUGGGGUGCUCGAGUGGCGAACGGGUGAGUAACACGUGAGUAACCUGCCCUUGACUUUGGGAUAACUUCAGGAAACUGGGGCUAAUACCGGAUAGGAGCUCCUGCUGCAUGGUGGGGGUUGGAAAGUUUCGGCGGUUGGGGAUGGACUCGCGGCUUAUCAGCUUGUUGGUGGGGUAGUGGCUUACCAAGGCUUUGACGGGUAGCCGGCCUGAGAGGGUGACCGGCCACAUGGGGACUGAGAUACGGCCCAGACCCCUACGGGAGGCAGCAGUGGGGAAUAUUGCACAAUGGGCGGAAGCCUGAUGCAGCAACGCCGCGUGCGGGAUGACGGCCUUCGGGUUGUAACCCGCUUUCGCCUGUGACGAAGCGUGAGUGACGGUAAUGGGUAAAGAAGCACCGGCUAACUACGUG